UACGUAGGGGGCAAGCGUUAUCCGGAUUUACUGGGUGUAAAGGGAGCGCAGACGGCAGUGCAAGUCUGGAGUGAAAGCCCGGGGCCCAACCCCGGAACUGCUCUGGAAACUGUGCGGCUAGAGUACUGGAGGGGCAGGCGGAAUUCCUAGUGUAGCGGUGAAAUGCGUAGAUAUUAGGAGGAACACCAGUGGCGAAGGCGGCCUGCUGGACAGUAACUGACGUUGAGGCUCGAAAGCGUGGGGAGCAAAGAGG
This 253-nucleotide ribosomal RNA is filed under the name uncultured bacterium. Its description in RNAcentral is "partial 16S ribosomal RNA". It matches the Rfam family "Bacterial small subunit ribosomal RNA", at positions 524 to 776 of the family's 1533-position model. The record is from RNAcentral.